ACUUGAAGGCAGCGCAGUAGUCGCGCCAGACGCACGCACAAAGAGACCCAGGGCAGAAAGGGAAACUGACGCGGGCCGGGCACCGGCGCCUGGCGGUAGCAUCGAAGCCAUGCCGUCUCGCCUGUCGCCGAUUGCUGGCUGACAGCCUGACAGGCGAUGAGCAUGCAUGUACAAAGGCAAACAGGGAUCGACCGAGGAGGCAAAACGCAGGGGCAGCGUGCCUCACGCGCUCAAGACGGCGGCACACGCCGCACACCCCAAUGCACAUGAAAGAAGGACAGGUCCAUCGAGGUGAUCACAGGACCAAGACGGAGGGCAGCAUCUCGCUGCGCCGGCGUCAAGCCACAUAUGCAGAACAGGAGUACAGGUAAUUAACCAUCGAGCAAGACAGGUUCCAAUGCCAAGACGAACAGGUUCAUGGCGCCCCCAAGGCGAGCAGGUCCAGGGACAUCAAGGCUACGUGGCCGUCUUGACCGCGGCCACGCCCACAACGACACGUGCUCGUGCAAGCCUCCAAGUGUACCACAUGCUGGCGCCCGCCCGAUGCGGGACGCCAUCUUCACCACAACCCGUCGACGUCCGCCUGAACACCAUCAUGCGUGAUGGUGCGGAUGUGGGCGACGUCUACAUAGUGCCCGUUUCACGCGGAGCGCUACCUCAAUGAACAGGAUGAGUUGGCGCACAGGUUGUCUUAGCACGAGAGGCAUUCACUUGAACGCCGCCGUCAUCAGCAACAGGUUGUUCGAGUCAGCGGGAGGCGCCCGUUGGCCCGGAGGUCUCCUUCAACUGUCAAACUUCGUCGCUAGCGGCAGCCUUCUACUUGGUGUCCAUUGAGACACCGCUACACAAGGCGCCAGCCGUCUUGGCGCUUCCUUCACCGACCCGGUGUCGUGCCGCCGCUGCGCAUGGUGGCUUUCUACUUGGUGUUCGUCAAGACACCGACACAUAGGGCGCCUGUCUUGGCGCAUUCUUCACCGACUCGACGUCGUGCAAGACGGUGCCGCUCGUGGCGGCCUUCUACGCGGUGUUGCUGAGACACCGCAGCUGACGGCGCCCGCUUCGGCGCACUUUUCACAGGUUAUCACCAUGCUAAGACACCCACGGCUCGUGGCGGCCUUCUACUUGGUGUCCGCCGAGACACCCCCAUACAGGGCGCCACCCUUGGCAUAUCCUUCACAGGUUAGCAUCGUGCCGCUCUGCCUUUUACAUGGUGUCCGUUGAGACACCACAUACACGGUGCCUGGCUUGGCACACUCUUCACUAACUUGGCAUCGGUACGCCACCACUCGUGGCGGCCUUCUACGCGGUGUCUGCUGAGACACCACCAAACAGGGCGCCUGUCUUGGCGCACUCUUCACCAACUUGCAGUACAUCGUCGCUCGUGGCGGCCUUCUACAUGGUGUCCGUCGAGACACUGCCAUACAGGCGCCCAAGCUUCCUUCACCAACUCCUGACGAGGUCUUGCACCUCCGAUAGCAUCUACAUCAUCGUAUUCAACAUCAAGUCUACUCCCUCAUUCGCAUUGCCGAUGGCAUUCCGGCAUCCAAGCAUCUUCUCCAACACCGACUAAGCACCGGUGAGGUGAAGCCACUCCACCGACAUGUUCGCGUACCGAUGAAGUACAUCACCACAUCACAUGCUCUUGCUGGGCACCGACGCUAGGCAAAAGCAAGACAUCCUGUCCGGUCCGACGAGGCGGACAUUUUACAGGCUGGGUACCGACGAGGCGAAGGCCACUUCAUCAGCCUGUCUAGCUGACAAGGCGCGUGUCAGCUAGACCCUUCAUCGUACAUCGAUAAGACGACGUGGCAUGCCGUUCGGCACCUGCACGGUCGAACGGUCGUGGCUUAGCAUCGACGGAGCGGGGUCGUACCACCCCUCUCUUCCUCUUCAUCACCACCAUCUUUUGCACCAAGCACAAGAAGACAAGACUUGAAGACGACACCAUUGUAGCAGCUUAAUCGGAGGUGGUCUGCAGGCUUGACCAGCGGACGUAAUUAAGCGGGAGCUUUCCGAGGCCCUGUGAACCAAGAGACUACAAUCGCCCAUGUCAUGUUGGGCGUGCUAGCAGGCCACACAGAGCGCACUUUUCAUAAGGGAACAUGUAAUUUCAUUUCUCUACAUGAGAUUAAUAAAAUACAUGUUUUCCUACUUUGUCUUUUUUUAUUUGUGUACAUUAGUACACUGGCACGCCCGCACCUUUUCAUUCCCCCGGAGUGUUGAGAAAAUACAUUCUCUGCCUUAGAGUUUCGUUAUUUUUCUCACCAAACACUC
Molecule: RNA transcript, 2274 nt
Organism: Brachypodium distachyon (stiff brome)
Lineage: Eukaryota; Viridiplantae; Streptophyta; Magnoliopsida; Poales; Poaceae
Exons: 3
Source: RefSeq, a predicted model, not a curated record